UUUCACCCGGAGGCUAGAGUAGGGUGGUUGUAUGCCGUAUUUUCGAGAGUUUUGUGCGCUGUUCCCUUGGUGUAUCGCUGGCAAUACUACGGAAGGCGGUGAAGGAGUGGCAGCUGUGUCCGGAGGAGGUGAAGCACUACUGUAUUGUCUGCAUAUGGUGAGGCAGUUUCCGGCAGAUAGUUAGGCUGUUUGAAAGAGGCACCCGUCACUGUUCGCCUCUUGGAACUCUAACAAUCAACAGCUCGUUAAAGUGAUGGUGGUAGUGAUGGUGAUGAUGAGGAAGAAGAAGGAGAAGAAAUGGAAAUAAUGAAGAGAAGAAUGGAAAGGAAAGCAACAGCCACAACAAGAAAAGAAAAGGAAAAGAAGAGAUGAAGGAAAGUAAUAAGGAGAGAAAUAUAGGAAGACAAAGAAUAACAACAACAACAACAACAACAACAACAACAACAACUACUACUACUACUACUACUACUACUACUACUACUACUACUACUACUACUACUACUACUACUACUACUACUACUACUACUACUACUACUACUACAAAAUGAACCCCAAACUCAACCAACACAACAAACAGCACAACACACACAAAACAAUUCACACAAACACAUCAAUUCACCAUUUACUCAUCCACUCACUCAUCCUACAUUAAAAACCCACCAAUGAAUAAAAAAUAAAUAAAAUAAAUAAAUAAAUAAAACAAAUACUCUCCAAUUUGACCCAAGGCGAAGAUCAAUGACGAGACAUUUAGCAUUAUUCAUUUAUUGAGAUUCAUUCACUCAUCCCCCUUAUGUGUAUUCAUAUUUGUAUCCUCUUGUUGAAGAAUGCAAUAGGCAGGAAAAUAAAUGCAAUGAAAUCACCCUCUCUCAUAUGUAUUUUUGUUGAGCUGAAUGCAUUACCAAAUUACUGUGUCUGUUAAGAGAGAGAGAGAGGGAGAGAGAGAGGGAGAGGGUAAGAAAAACAGUGCUAUUGUGUUCUCUUUCUUUAACGUUAUUUUUAGCACGUGUUUUUAGGGUGGUUUUCAUUUUUAUUUCACUUUUGUGUCUUGUUUUGAUUGUGACGAUGCUGGUGAUUGGAAAGGGGAGGAUAAUGAUGCUACGAAGAAAUAGGAGGAAGGUGAUGAUAAUUGUGAUUGCGAUGAUGAUGAUGAUGAUGAUGAUGAUGAAGAGGAGGAGGAGGAGGAGGAAAAUAAUGUUGAUGAUAAGUAAGAGGAAGAGAAGAGGAGGAGGAGGACAAAGAAGAAGAGAAAAGAAAAAGAAGAAAAUGAGGAGAAAAUUUCGUGCUUGUUAUUAUAAUGGUACACACACACACACACACACACACACACACACACACACACACACACACACACACACACACACACACACACACACACACACACACACACACACACACACACACGAAAACAA
Long non-coding RNA from Scylla paramamosain (green mud crab), 1409 nucleotides. RefSeq lists it as uncharacterized. The transcript has 3 exons. The record is from RefSeq and is a predicted model, not a curated record. Lineage: Eukaryota; Metazoa; Arthropoda; Malacostraca; Decapoda; Portunidae.